UCUUGAUUGGGAGGUUGAGCAAUAGAG
This 27-nucleotide small RNA is filed under the name Bombyx mori (domestic silkworm). RNAcentral describes it as "ovarian small RNA-30189". The record is from RNAcentral. Lineage: Eukaryota; Metazoa; Arthropoda; Insecta; Lepidoptera; Bombycidae.